RNAcentral lists this ribosomal RNA (402 nucleotides) under uncultured Eubacteriales bacterium. RNAcentral's name for it is "uncultured Clostridiales bacterium partial 16S ribosomal RNA". It matches the Rfam family "Bacterial small subunit ribosomal RNA", at positions 355 to 774 of the family's 1533-position model. The record is from RNAcentral. Lineage: Bacteria; Bacillati; Bacillota; Clostridia; Eubacteriales.
UGGGGAAUAUUGGUCAAUGGGGGAAACCCUGAACCAGCAACGCCGCGUGAAGGAUGAAGGUUUUCGGAUUGUAAACUUCUGUCUUUGGGGAAGAUAAUGACGGUACCCAAGGAGGAAGCCACGGCUAACUACGUGCCAGCAGCCGCGGUAAUACGUAGGUGGCAAGCGUUGUCCGGAUUUACUGGGUGUAAAGGGUGCGUAGGCGGGCCUACAAGUCAGAUGUGAAAUGCCACGGCUUAACCGUGGAGCUGCAUUUGAAACUGUGGGUCUUGAGUGCAGGAGAGGUAGGCGGAAUUCCCAGUGUAGCGGUAAAAUGCGUAGAAAUUGGGAGGAACACCAGUGGCGAAGGCGGCCUACUGGACUGCAACUGACGCUGAGGCACGAAAGCGUGGGGAUCAAACA